UGGGGAAUAUUGGACAAUGGGGGCAACCCUGAUCCAGCAAUGCCGCGUGUGUGAAGAAGGUCUUCGGAUUGUAAAGCACUUUCGACGGGGACGAUGAUGACGGUACCCGUAGAAGAAGCCCCGGCUAACUUCGUGCCAGCAGCCGCGGUAAUACGAAGGGGGCUAGCGUUGCUCGGAAUGACUGGGCGUAAAGGGCGUGUAGGCGGUUUACACAGUCAGAUGUGAAAUCCCCGGGCUUAACCUGGGAGCUGCAUUUGAUACGUGUAGACUAGAGUGUGAGAGAGGGUUGUGGAAUUCCCAGUGUAGAGGUGAAAUUCGUAGAUAUCGGGAAGAACACCGGUGGCGAAGGCGGCAACCUGGCUCAUGACUGACGCUGAGGCGCGAAAAGCGUGGGGAGCAAACAGGUUAGAUACCCUGGUAGU
RNAcentral lists this ribosomal RNA (422 nucleotides) under uncultured bacterium. Its description in RNAcentral is "partial 16S ribosomal RNA". It matches the Rfam family "Bacterial small subunit ribosomal RNA", at positions 355 to 794 of the family's 1533-position model. The record is from RNAcentral.